Molecule: unclassified non-coding RNA, 1713 nt
Filed under: Hevea brasiliensis (rubber tree)
Lineage: Eukaryota; Viridiplantae; Streptophyta; Magnoliopsida; Malpighiales; Euphorbiaceae
Source: RNAcentral
CUCCAAUCCAAUAAUAUAUGAAAUAAAAUAUAAAUAGAGAACAUUGAACCUUGAUUAAAUGUACGAACUCCAAUUAAUCAACAAGUAACACAAUCCAUAAAAUUUAAAUCAUGAUGAGCCAGAGAAAUUGGCUGAUAAUUUAUUCAAGUAAUUAAUUAAUCAGAGAAAAUAUCCACAUGAAGUUGUUCAUCUUCUUGUUCAUUAUUAACACCAAGCAAAGCCAUAAUCUCAUCUUCAACAUUACUAUUCUCAUUCAGCAUAUCCUCCCAAAAUCCUUCAUUAUUUUCUUCUUCUAAAUUGAUUAAUGUGUUCCCAUGUGACAUGUUCAUAGCCACUUGUAAAUCAUCAUCAAAUUCAUUAUUAAUAAUAUCAUGAUCUUGAGGUUCUAACUUAAUUAUAUUACUAGGACCAGCUUCAUAAUAAUCAAUUGGCCUCCUCCUCUUCUUCUUCAUUGCUUCUUCAAGUUGUUUCCUUUUAUCAUUUUGUUGCAUUAUUUGCUCCACAAAAUUUGGAUUAUGUAAUGCUUUAGCCAAAAAACUCAUUAUUUGCUCUUGUUUGAUUUCUGUCCCUUGAAGCUUUUGCUCCAUAGCUUGAAGUUGUGAUUUAGUAGCCUUUUGAUGCUGUUUAAGUUUAACAAGUUCAAUCAUGAGAACCUGCUUGUCGCGUCUUAAUUCAUCGAUUUCUCCAUCAAAUGAUCCAAACCUUCCCAACUCAACACAUGAUGAUGAUGAUGAUGAAGUAGAAUCCAUACCUUGAUUAUUAAUUGAUGACGAAGACUUGAUGAAAUUACUUGGUUUUCUUCUCCUUAUUGUUCUCAAGAGAUGCUUUUUCCCUCUCAGAAAACCUUCAUUAGCAAAUUCCCAAUGGUCUGGAUUUACUUUCCUAAAUCCCUGCAUUUUUUUAAACACAUUCCUCUUCUCCAUAACAAAAGAAAGACACAAGCUCAUGGAAAAAUACUUUUUAGCGGCAAUAAAUUAAAUAUGUACAUUAACAAACAGUGCUUAAUUAAGCCUUUACUGAUAUUAGUUAAUUGUCGUUAUAUCCAAAAGCACUAUAGGCUUUAGGAAUAUUUACAAAGAGUGGUAAAAUGUAUUUGUCACUAGUAACUGCGGCUAAAGGAACAUAUUCAACAACAAUUAUAAUUGCUGGUAGUAGUGCUAGUGUACAUAAACAAUAAUUGUGGAGUAGUAGUCUUUGUUGAAACAAAUCACUACCAAAAUUGUUUAAUAUUUUGUCACUAAGUAGAAUUAAGAAGGAUUUUGUUUUUUAGCUAUAUAUAUGGUAUUUCUGUCGUCGCUAAUUCUUAAUUUUUUUUCUUUCUUUUAAGUAGUGAAAAGUCAAUGAAGAUAUACACCUCCCUUUCUUAGGGAUUUAGAUUUAACAAACUCUGGCUAGACUUUUGAACCUCAGGAACAUAUAUGCAAAUCUUUAAGAAAUAAAAGUUCUUAAAAAAAACUAUAUAUUCAUCAUUUGAUCCUCAAAAGCUUUAAUAUAAUUCUUCAUCUUUCUUGUUCCCAUUGAUUAAGUAUUAGAUAAAAAAAAUAUAAAAAAGUUUAUGUUAUGUGCACUGACGAUGUAAUAUUGCACUAAUCAGGUCAAAAUUGACCUAUUAAACAUAGAAUAUAACUAUGUAUCAAUUUUGAUAUGGCAAUUUUACGAAUGUCAUGAUAUGUGUUAUACAAAAUCAAAUAUCUAGUCAAUUAUUGUCAUAUA